Molecule: ribosomal RNA, 465 nt
Filed under: Vreelandella stevensii
Lineage: Bacteria; Pseudomonadati; Pseudomonadota; Gammaproteobacteria; Oceanospirillales; Halomonadaceae
Description: partial 16S ribosomal RNA
Rfam family: Bacterial small subunit ribosomal RNA
Source: RNAcentral
CCUACGGGUGGCAGCAGUGGGGAAUAUUGGACAAUGGGGGCAACCCUGAUCCAGCCAUGCCGCGUGUGUGAAGAAGGCCCUCGUGUUGUAAAGCACUUUCAGUGAGGAAGAACGCCUGGUGGUUAAUACCCAUCAGGAAAGACAUCACUCACAGAAGAAGCACCGGCUAACUCCGUGCCAGCAGCCGCGGUAAUACGGAGGGUGCGAGCGUUAAUCGGAAUUACUGGGCGUAAAGCGCGCGUAGGUGGCUUGAUAAGCCGGUUGUGAAAGCCCCGGGCUCAACCUGGGAACGGCAUCCGGAACUGUCAAGCUAGAGUGCAGGAGAGGAAGGUAGAAUUCCCGGUGUAGCGGUGAAAUGCGUAGAGAUCGGGAGGAAUACCAGUGGCGAAGGCGGCCUUCUGGACUGACACUGACACUGAGGUGCGAAAGCGUGGGUAGCAAACAGGAUUAGAUACCCCAGUAGUC